GGUGGCUCAGUGGUAGAGCUCUUGCCUUGCAUGCAUGAGGCCAGGGUUCGAUUCCUCAGCACCA
Molecule: transfer RNA, 64 nt
Filed under: Dipodomys ordii (Ord's kangaroo rat)
Lineage: Eukaryota; Metazoa; Chordata; Mammalia; Rodentia; Heteromyidae
Rfam family: tRNA
About the family: Transfer RNA (tRNA) molecules are approximately 80 nucleotides in length. Their secondary structure includes four short double-helical elements and three loops (D, anti-codon, and T loops).
Source: Rfam by way of RNAcentral